AUAUGCAAAGAUGAUGAACCCUAUGAGUGCUGCGAUGAUAAAGAACAUGACAAAGAGGUAUAGCCACAUCAAGAACGUGUUCCUAUAACACGCGCCGGCGAAACCAGCUAAAGAGAUGACCAUAAUAGAGACCCCAAUGACGAUCAGUGGCCACUGCAAGAAUUUUAAGCAGUCUGUGUUGUUGGCUCUGCUGCUUAGCCAUAUCCCACCACCCAGAAUUGGUAUUGAGAGCAAGAAAGUUAAGAAG
Molecule: unclassified non-coding RNA, 247 nt
Filed under: Hevea brasiliensis (rubber tree)
Lineage: Eukaryota; Viridiplantae; Streptophyta; Magnoliopsida; Malpighiales; Euphorbiaceae
Source: RNAcentral